GAUGAACGCUGGCGGCGUGCCUAAUACAUGCAAGUCGAACGAAACUUCUUUAUCACCGAGUGCUUGCACUCACCGAUACAGAGUUGAGUGGCGAACGGGUGAGUAACACGUGGGCAACCUGCCCAAAAGAGGGGGAUAACACUUGGAAACAGGUGCUAAUACCGCAUAACCAUAGUUACCGCAUGGUAACUAUGUAAAAGGUGGCUAUACUACCGCUUUUGGAUGGGCCCGCGGCGCAUUAGCUAGUUGGUAGGGUAAAGGCUUACCAAGGCAAUGAUGCGUAGCCGAAUUGAGAGGUUGAUCGGCCACAUUGGGACUGAGACACGGCCCAAACGCCUAAGGGAGGCAGCAGUAGGGAAUCUUCCACAAUGGGCGAAAGCCUGAUGGAGCAACGCCGCGUGGGUGAAGAAGGUCUUCGGAUCGUAAAACCCUGUUGUUAGAGAAGAAAGUGCGUGAGAGUAACUGUUCACGUUUCGACGGUAUCUAACCAGAAAGCCACGGCUAACUACGUG
Molecule: ribosomal RNA, 512 nt
Filed under: uncultured bacterium
Lineage: Bacteria
Description: partial 16S ribosomal RNA
Rfam family: Bacterial small subunit ribosomal RNA
Source: RNAcentral